CCGGCCGGAUGAGGGACGCAGGGGCAGAGGGCUCAGGCCAGGGCCGGCGGGGGCACUGCGCACUGGCCGCCUCCCUCCUCUGGCCAAUCCUCCUGCCGCUGCGCGUCCAGUCCACCUCGUCCGUCUCUGCAGCAGGCAUGUUCCUCCGUGGAGCAUGGAGUUAUGCGAUGGCCUGCCUGUCCAUGAAGUUCCUCUGGCCUCCUCCGAUUCUGCGGCUGCAAAUCCACACCCAGGAGCUCCGCAGGCCUGCUGGAGCACAGCGCCUGGCGGUUUCUGCACCUGGAACCCACCUCAGGACCACGAGCCGCAUUCAGUCUCUUUUUAUAGAUCUGGAACUCGAAGCCCAGCGUGGUUAGGAACGUGUCUAAGGUCACGUGAUAGUAAAUACUGGAAGAGGGAUUCAAACCCACAUCUCCAGAGAGAGCUGAGAAGACUUGUGCUUCCCAUGGGUGCAGCUGUUCCCAGAGGCCUCCGGCCCUGUUUCACCUUCCCAGACUGCUUUGAGAGGCUCUGGCUGGCCUGUCUCUAGUGUGGCCAGAUUCUGUCUGCAGUGGCAAGGGAGGACCCCAGGCAACAAUACUGACAUCAGGGAAGAGAACAGAUCUGCAGGGCCAGUGAGUGGUGCUAUGGAAAGGCUGGGAGUGGCCCCUGCAUGGUUUUCACCAGACCCGUCGUCAGGGGCUCCAGGCCUCCAUGUGCUGCACGGGCUACUGGCUCCCUCUCCAAAAUCGACCCUGGGUGAGCUGUGGAGGCGAGAAGGCAGUGUGCAUUUCAGAAACUAACCAAAAUCAGUGAGAAAAUCUUGGAGAAACUGAAGUUACCCUGGGCGGCUGUAGCUGGGGAUGGAGGAUGGGGCAGCCAGGAGCCGCACUUAAGAAGGCUGUUCACACUCUGCUCUUGUUGCUUGCCUCCCACACCUCGUGACAAAUGCUGCCUGGUCCUGCUCAGGUGCCAGGAUUGCAAGGUGGCUGUGUCAGCCAGCGUGAGGGCCCCACCAGCCACCAGUGUUGUGUGCCCUCCAUCCUCCUCCUGAAACCCCCCUGGGUAGGACAGUUGCUAUCCAGGGAAAUGGGCCCCUUCCACUGUGAUCUCCUCCAGGGCUUUCACCAGAAGGCCUGCCUGCAGGAGUGGCUUGUGGGGUGGCAGAAUGCAGGAGAGAGUGAGUGAGGUGCUUCGUGCCCGGGGCCCUCUGCUCUGGGGCCACCCUCCUCGUUGACUCAUUGGGAGCCUUCCUAGUGCAGACAGGGUGACCAGGAGCUGCUAAGCCCAGGGAAUGCACACACGUGCACUGGAGCUGCUGCCUAUCUUAAGAGUCCAAUGCCCACCGAAACACAGUAGGCUGCACAGCAUCCACUACUAGAAGUAGAGUUGCUGGAAAAGACCGAUCAAACAUAUUUAAUAAGCACAAUAAAUAUCUUUUUGGAUACCGAAAAAUAGUAUUAGCAAUAAGACCCAAGACAAAGAAACUACAGAAAAGAACCAAGUCAAAAUAUUACAUAUGCAAAAUGUAAUCGUUGAAUUAAAGACCACAUUACAUUGA
This 1540-nucleotide small RNA is filed under the name Pongo abelii (Sumatran orangutan). Its description in RNAcentral is "processed transcript". Lineage: Eukaryota; Metazoa; Chordata; Mammalia; Primates; Hominidae. The record is from RNAcentral.